CCCCAGUAACGGCGAGUGAAGCGGGAACAGCUCAAAUUUGAAAUCUGGCCCUCGGGUCCGAGUUGUAAUUUGUAGAGGAUGCUUUUGGUGCGGUGCCUUCCGAGUUCCCUGGAACGGGACGCCUUAGAGGGUGAGAGCCCCGUACGGUUGGACGCCUAGCCUCUGUAAAGCUCCUUCGACGAGUCGAGUAGUUUGGGAAUGCUGCUCUAAAUGGGAGGUAUAUUUCUUCUAAAGCUAAAUACCGGCCAGAGACCGAUAGCGCACAAGUAGAGUGAUCGAAAGAUGAAAAGCACUUUGAAAAGAGGGUUAAAUAGCACGUGAAAUUGUUGAAAGGGAAGCGUUUAUCACCAGACUUUUUCUAGGGGGAUCAUCCGGGGUUCUCCCCGGUGCACUUCCCCUAGUUGAGGCCAGCAUCGGUUUUCGGAGGGGGAUAAAAGUUUCGGGAAUGUGACUCCCCCGGGAGUGUUAUAGCCCGUUACAUAAUACCCUUCUGGGGACCGAGGUUCGCGCAUCUGCAAGGAUGCUGGCAUAAUGGUGAUCAACGACCCGUCUUGAAACACGGACCAAGGAGUCGAACAUUUAUGCGAGUGUUUGGGUGUCAAACCCUCACGCGUAAUGAAAGUGAACGGAGGUGAGAGCCCUUACGGGUGCAUCAUCGACCGAUCCUGAUGUCUUCGGAUGGAUUUGAGUAAGAGCAUAACUGUUCGGACCCGAAAGAUGGUGAACUAUGCGUGGAUAGGGUGAAGCCAGGAGAAAUCCUGGUGGAGGCUCGCAGCGGUUCUGACGUGCAAAUCGAUCGUCAAAUCUGCGCAUGGGGGCGAAAGACUAAUCGA
RNAcentral lists this ribosomal RNA (833 nucleotides) under Nigrospora guilinensis. Its description in RNAcentral is "eukaryotic LSU rRNA". It matches the Rfam family "Eukaryotic large subunit ribosomal RNA", at positions 78 to 938 of the family's 3401-position model. Lineage: Eukaryota; Fungi; Ascomycota; Sordariomycetes; Amphisphaeriales; Apiosporaceae. The record is from RNAcentral.